AUUGAACGCUGGCGGCAGGCCUAACACAUGCAAGUCGAGCGAGCGGCGGACGGGUGAGUAAUGUCUGGGAAACUGCCCGCUGGAGGGGGAUAACUACUGGAAACGGUAGCUAAUACCGCAUACCAUCGGAUGUGCCCAGAUGGGAUUAGCUAGUAGGUGGGGUAACGGCGUACCUAGGCGACGAUCCCUAGCUGGUCUGAGAGGAUGACAAGCCACACUGUAACUGAGACACGGUCCAGAGUCCUAUGGGAGGCAGCAGUGGGGAAUAUUGCACAAUGGGCGCAAGCCUGAUGCAGCCAGGCCGCGGGUAUGAAGAAGGCCCUAGGGUUGUAAAGUACUUUCAGUCGGGAGGCGUUACCGACAGAAGAAGCACCGGCUAACUCCGUGCCAGCAGCCGCGGUAAUUC
Molecule: ribosomal RNA, 406 nt
Filed under: uncultured bacterium
Lineage: Bacteria
Description: partial 16S ribosomal RNA
Rfam family: Bacterial small subunit ribosomal RNA
Source: RNAcentral